Molecule: non-coding RNA, 81 nt
Organism: Fomitopsis serialis
Lineage: Eukaryota; Fungi; Basidiomycota; Agaricomycetes; Polyporales; Fomitopsidaceae
Source: the annotation of a RefSeq genome assembly
GGCCGACUGGCCUAAUGGUUAAGGCGUCAGUUUCCGGCUGGGAUUAGCUGAAGAUUCUGGGUUCGAAUCCCAGGUUGGUCG